GGUCCACGCAUCUAACACACAUCUACACAGCAGUGACUACCUCCAAUAUCUUUAUCAAGCUCACGCAUUCCACAGGUAAGAAUCCGAUCAGGUAAGAAUCAGAUCAGGUACGAAUUAGAUCAGGUACGAAUCAAAUCAGGUUAGAAUCAGAUCAGGUACGAAUCAGGUCAGGUAAGAAUCAGGACAGGGAAGAAUCAGAUCAGGUAAGAAUCAGGUCAGGUAAGAAUCAGAUCAGGUACGAAUCAAAUCAGGUUAGAAUCAGAUCAGGUAAGAAUCAGAUCAGGUAAGAAUCAGGUCAGGUAAAAAUCAGAUCAGGUAAGAAUCAGAUCAGGUAAGAAUCAGGUCAGGUAA
Molecule: long non-coding RNA, 351 nt
Organism: Clupea harengus (Atlantic herring)
Lineage: Eukaryota; Metazoa; Chordata; Actinopteri; Clupeiformes; Clupeidae
Source: Ensembl